UACAUUUGAAUACUCUGUGGUCAUAUAAAAAAAAUCUCUCGUUGAAAACCUCUGCGCGGAGAACUGGCGGGAGAAACGAAGAGAAGUGAAAAUGACACACCGUCCUCAGUCGAUUUUCUCCUAAAUUGUCCUAGAAAUUUGCUGUACUGUUGAUUACCAUGUCUGUUACGAACGAGACUGUGAUUGACGGGACUGCUGAGGAAAGUAACAGGAGAAAGUCCAGACGUCGCUCCAGCCUGAGUGCCAGGCGUUUCAGCCUUGUUAAUCCAUUUGUAGAGCCCCCUACAGAGCAGUCACAAGUGGAAGAAUCAAGACUUACUCAGGGGAGUGCUAUAGAAGGGCUUAUUGAAGGUAGGGGGUCAGGAAGAUGAGGGUGAAGACGAGGAGGAAGAUUACUGGGCUAUGGGAAGGAAAUAGACAG
Long non-coding RNA from Liolophura sinensis, 421 nucleotides. RefSeq lists it as uncharacterized. The record is from RefSeq and is a predicted model, not a curated record. Lineage: Eukaryota; Metazoa; Mollusca; Polyplacophora; Chitonida; Chitonidae. The transcript is spliced from 4 exons.